CCUACGGGAGGCUGCAGUGGGGAAUAUUGCACAAUGGGGGGAACCCUGAUGCAGCGACGCCGCGUGAGUGAAGAAGUAUUUCGGUAUGUAAAGCUCUAUCAGCAGGGAAGAAGAUGACGGUACCUGACUAAGAAGCCCCGGCUAACUACGGGACAGCAGCCGCGGUAAUACGAAGGGGGCAAGCGUUAUCCGGUUUUACUGGGUGGAAGGGGAGCGUAGACGGCAGGGAAAGGUGGGGGGAAAAGCCCGGGGCCCACCCCCGGGUCUGCUUUGAAACUGCCAUGCUAGGGUGCUGGAGAGGUAAGCGGAAUUCCUAGUGUAGCGGUGAAAUGCGUAGAUAUUAGGAGGAACACCAGUGGCGAAGGCGGCUUACUGGACAGUAACUGACGUUGAGGCUCGAAAGCGUGGGGAGCAAACAAGAUUAGAUACCCCAGUAGUC
This 439-nucleotide ribosomal RNA is filed under the name uncultured bacterium. RNAcentral describes it as "partial 16S ribosomal RNA". It matches the Rfam family "Bacterial small subunit ribosomal RNA", at positions 338 to 795 of the family's 1533-position model. The record is from RNAcentral.